This is a small nuclear RNA of Vombatus ursinus (common wombat), 112 nucleotides long. The record is from Ensembl. NCBI's taxonomy places the organism in Eukaryota, Metazoa, Chordata, Mammalia, Diprotodontia, Vombatidae.
AUGAUCAGAUAACUGCCAUAACAUAUAUAUUACAACUAGAACAACAAAGAUGAGAAAAGCAUGGUCCCUGGGCAAUGAUGACAUACAAAUUUAUGAAGUGUUCAAUAUUGUU